This 23-nucleotide non-coding RNA is filed under the name Arabidopsis thaliana (thale cress). Lineage: Eukaryota; Viridiplantae; Streptophyta; Magnoliopsida; Brassicales; Brassicaceae. The record is from RNAcentral.
GUGAAGUGGUAGCCUGGUUUCCU